GCCAGCUAACCGUGGGUCAACGACUCAGCGUGCUACCCUUCCCAGCCAAAAAAAGAGAAACCCAAAUUCUCGUUCUCCUCCCGUUCCUUUUCACCGUUCCUUGCCCGAUCCAUAGAUUCAUCCACAUUCGUUGAUAGAUCCUGCCAAGGGAGGAGGACGGGGUGAGAAGGGGGAUUUGCGGCGGAGUGCGGUGGCUGCAUGCUCUCGGCGACGGCAGGUCCUCCAGCUCGACCACACGUGCCUGCUGCUCCCCGCCGCCGUCAAUUGGAUGGCCGUGGAGUUGGGCCCCUUUGAACCUGAGCGGUUCCUCUUCUCCAGAGAGUCCAUGGGUGGAGGCGUGUUGUGGGCUCGCUACUGCUGUCAGCUUCCACCUAUGUAAUGUGCUACAACUUUGCAUCAUUACUACUUGCUGCACACCGGCUGAUUCGUCACAGGUAUGCUUCCUCCCUGUAGUUUGAUAAAAAGGUGUAUUCUUUCUAUUUGUUGUUACCAUAUAGUAUUAGCAAGUUAUAUUAAUGAUAUGUGUCUUUAAGACAAAAGAAAAAGGCUUGCAUUUAUUAACUGAAUUUGGUCCAUAUGUGUUAAUUGAUAUGCAAUAGAGUUUUCACAUGUGUUGUAGGUGAUGCAUAUAACACUGGAGCUUUUUUCAUUGUUCUCCUCAACUGAAAAGGCUAGACAGAAGAGCUGUUACCAAGAACAUAAAACUCACUAAAGUGCAUGUCUGAAUUUAGUAGACCUUCCAUAGUAACCAUGAAUGUAAUUAGAAAAUGCAUGCAAGGAUUAAAUAUGCAAAUUGUACAUUGAUGACCUAUGGAAAAUAUCUGAACCCGAAUGGAUGAACUGAUGAUUUAGAACAGCUCUUACUAACCUUUCAAAUUUCAGAAUUUACGGGAAUCACUUGUCGCAUAUGUCAUCUUCUACAAAAAUACUCUACAGACAACAAAAUAGCUACUGUUACUUUAGGGCUACAAAAUAAUCUAUUAGACUCAUUUUGCAGCGAUAAGAAAUAGCAUAUAGCAUGUUGUACAGGGAAAAAAAUUGUGCAAUAGAAUUGUAGCGUUGCCUUUCACUUAUAUUAGACACUGAAAAACUAUAGUUAUUGUCAUAGAAACUUAGACUGAUUGGAACAUAUCUAGUAGAAUAUAGCCUUCAGGUGCAGAACUGAAACAACAUGCAACAGUACGAUUGUCUCUGACCACCCAGAUAAAUGUAUAAUAGUCCUUCCAUAGUAAACAUGAAUGUAAUUAGAAUUAUUAAAAAAAUGAAUGUAAUUAGAAAAUGCAUGCAGGGAUCAAAUAUGCAAAUUGUACAUUGGUGACCUAUGGAAAAUAUCUUAACUCAAAUGGAUGAACUGAUUACUGAGAUCAACUCUUACUUACCAUUCAAAUUUCAGAAUUAAUGGAAAUCACUUGAAUUUAUAAGGAUUCACACACAUAUCAUCUUCUAGGAAAAAUCUACACAUAAUACAAUAGCUUUUAUUACUUAAUGACUACAAAAAUAAUCUAUUAUGCUCAUUUUUCAACGAUAAGAGUUGCAUAUAGCAUCUUGUAUAUCAUAAAAAUUCUGCAAACAAUAGUAGUUGCUGUUACUAACACAUUGUAUAAUAUGUGAUCUGUUAUAUCCUGAAUUCAGGACCUUUACGCAUUAGUCCUAAGGAUAGCUUGUAUACAUAAAUUUAUCCUUUUUCAAACUGUAAAUCUAAUAUGCACAAUGAUCUGCUAAAAAUACCAUUGGAUAUACAUGUCUUUAUACAUUUUGUCAAACACUUGGCAAGCAUGUCCAAAUUUUAACUAACUGUUAGACAGAGGAGGGCGAGGAGUUGAUUAAAUCUAGAAAGAGGAUAGGGCCAUGUUUCAAACAAUUUUGUUAUUACGCCAAGUAAUACCUGCAUCUGGGGGUCGAUUUGGUUCUCUUUAUGCCACUUGUAAGUCACAUCCUUGGUGGUCAUCUUACUAUGCUUGUAGACCAUGCUGAUCUAUCCUCUUGCAGACAGUCCUACAUGCCUUGAUCGACCUGUGUAUGACACAACUCCAAGAUAGCACGAUAGUAUUCUUCCUUCUUUGCGACAUGAUUCUUGUCAAGUGUUUUCCUAUGGACAGGAACAGGAUGAUGAGACGCGACUGGUUGCUGCUCGGGAGGCGGAAUCUUCAACACCUAACCGAUUGAGGAGAAGAUCUUGUGGAGAGUGGACACAGAAGGCAUGGCUUCGAGGUUUUGGUGGCGCUGUAGGAUGUGAGCUGCAGCCACAGGACAGGAUGAAUAGUGUGGCCCUAGAGUAGACCAUCAGAAACCCUAGAACUCGGCUGCCCGAGAGGCAUAGUUUUGGGGUUUCGGUGGAUCUAUAGGAGGUGAGCUGCAGUUGCACAGGAGGAAUAGCUCGGCCCUAGGGCAGAUCAUCAUAAACCCUAAAACCUGGACUGCUCGAGAGGCAUAUGGCUUUGAGGUUUCGGUAGAACUGUAGGACGUAAACCUGGACAUCUCUUUUGUAUGCAACGUGUCAGGAUUUUUUUACCAUAUUGAUGCUCGUACGUGAACCUUUUUUUGAAGUGGCCCGUACGUGAACCUAACUCUUCCUACCUUUUUUU
Molecule: ribosomal RNA, 2585 nt
Filed under: Triticum aestivum (bread wheat)
Lineage: Eukaryota; Viridiplantae; Streptophyta; Magnoliopsida; Poales; Poaceae
Description: partial small subunit ribosomal RNA
Source: RNAcentral